Molecule: non-coding RNA, 493 nt
Organism: Plectropomus leopardus (leopard coralgrouper)
Lineage: Eukaryota; Metazoa; Chordata; Actinopteri; Perciformes; Serranidae
Source: RefSeq, a predicted model, not a curated record
CCUGGCUUCAGUUGCAGGAGUAGCAGACAACCUAUGCAACAAAAGCUGCUGCAGAGCCGAGCGACCGUCCGACGGCUGAGCGGACACAAACACCGGAGCCAGCGGCUGACACCACCCGGCGAGGUACGACUGCAGGGCUUGAAGUUGCAGCCUGGACCAAAACGUCGACGUCUCAGCGACAUUUAUGAAGCUUUCAAGGCCUUUUAAUUGAUCAGCCAAUCGAUGGGGAUUUUCAGAGAAGCUCCGCCUACCUACGCUGCCUUCCCUCCUCCCCCUCCCCCUCUCCCCCCCCGUAGGCCUCCUCCUCACCCCCACCCACCCCGUCGUCCAGGCCUCCAUCCAGCCCUCCAUACACAAAAUGACUCUGGAACUCACUGAGUGGUCUUCUAUAUGGAUUUUUACAGCUUGUAAUAGACAGUAAGAAAAAGAGGGAGAAACCUCAAUGACAAAAAAGCCAUAAAACACACACACACAUACACACCACACACCACAC